UCUUAACACUGGCGACAUCGCAGCAGCAGCACCUGGCUGCUACCUUUAGCAAACUCCGCUGAGAUCUGACUUUGUAAAGUUCACAUUUUGUCAUAUCUAUCUCCAAACAAUGCAGUCGGAUACUUUGUUGCAUGUCGCCAAUUUCAGCACACUGUUUGUGUGCAUGGUGCUGAAGUUCCCGCAGAUUUUUGUACUGAUGAGAGCGAAAUCAACGACUGGAGUCAGCCUCAACAGUCUUCUGCUCGAGUUGAUCGGGUUCAUUGUUUUUGUUACGUACCAGAUGUACUAUGACUACCCACCUCCAACAUACCUGGAAUAUCCAAUCCUCAUUGCUCAAGAUGUCAUUCUUCUGCUCCUGAUCCUUCACUACAACGGCAGCCUGCGGCAGAGCGUCAUCUACACCUUGGUGUUUGUCGGAGGUUGGAGGCUCCUCACUCUGGAGAAGUGGAUCAUAGAUUUGGCCAUGAGCCUCUGCACAUUCAUCAGUGCAGCCAGUAAAUUUGCACAACUCCAAUGCCUGUGGAAGUCCAAGGACGCCGGACAGGUUAGCGCCCUCUCGUGGGCCAUGGCUACCUACACAUGCAUAGCACGGAUUUACACCACCACAGUGACAACUGGAGACAUGCAGGGUAACCUGGUGUGCGAGAGGGAAACUUCUAGAAGCUUCUAGAUGCUCAGUCAGUUGUAUCUACCAUGUGAAUGGUUCAAAAUGGAUGCUUAUGUUCUCCCAAGUUCUGGUGCGGUUCAUCGUCAUGACUUCACUCAACAUGUGGGUACUGCUCACUGUGCUGUACUACCAGAAACACAGCAGCAGGUCCAAGAAAGAAGACUAAGCUUCAAAGUUGGAUCCUAAAGGCUGACUUGCUAUUCUACAAACCUGCAGUUCACUCGUGUCUUCCAACUCUGUUCGCUGGGGAGAUUACUGGGUUUAUCUGGACACAGCCAGGACCAAAAAACAGGGUAACUGUUAUGGAGGCAGCUUUUGUAAUGGCGAACUCUUUAAAUGGUCAUGUGCUAACAUUUUUACCUCAGUAUUAAACCCACACAUCUUUUUAAAACAUUUCAAUGACUAAAAAUCUGCUGCUUGUAACUAAGAGCACAGACCAAUGAUUUGUCAUACUGUAUGUGGAAAUAACGUUACAGCACAAGCCAUGCAUAUGUGAUCAUCCUACUCAGGAGGAGAAAUACUGUAUUUUGAAAAGCAUUUAUCUUUUCUGAACAAUUUUAAUAAAGCAAACAUUCUAGCUUCUUA
Micropterus dolomieu (smallmouth bass) is the source of this 1252-nucleotide RNA transcript. It is a transcript of the gene named solute carrier family 66 member 3, with no coding region annotated. The transcript has 8 exons. The record is from RefSeq and is a predicted model, not a curated record. Lineage: Eukaryota; Metazoa; Chordata; Actinopteri; Centrarchiformes; Centrarchidae.